UGCGUAGGCGGGUCUCUAAGUCAGAGGUGAAAGCCUGGAGCUCAACUCCAGAACUGCCUUUGAUACUGGAAGUCUUGAGUAUGGCAGAGGUGAGUGGAACUGCGAGUGUAGAGGUGAAAUUCGUAGAUAUUCGCAAGAACACCAGUGGCGAAGGCGGCUCACUGGGCCAUUACUGACGCUGAGGCACGAAAGCGUGGGGAGCAAACA
This 207-nucleotide ribosomal RNA is filed under the name uncultured bacterium. RNAcentral's name for it is "partial 16S ribosomal RNA". It matches the Rfam family "Bacterial small subunit ribosomal RNA", at positions 568 to 774 of the family's 1533-position model. The record is from RNAcentral.